Molecule: ribosomal RNA, 468 nt
Filed under: uncultured bacterium
Lineage: Bacteria
Description: partial 16S ribosomal RNA
Rfam family: Bacterial small subunit ribosomal RNA
Source: RNAcentral
GACGAACGCUGGCGGCGUGCUUAACACAUGCAAGUCGAACGGAAAGGCCCUGCUUUUGUGGGGUGCUCGAGUGGCGAACGGGUGAGUAACACGUGAGUAACCUGCCCUUGACUUUGGGAUAACUUCAGGAAACUGGGGCUAAUACCGGAUAGGAGCUCCUGCUGCAUGGUGGGGGUUGGAAAGUUUCGGCGGUUGGGGAUGGACUCGCGGCUUAUCCGCUUGUUGGUGGGGUAGUGGCUUACCAAGGCUUUGACGGAUAGCCGGCCUGAGAGGUUGACCGGCCACAUGGGGACUGAGAUACGGCCCAGACUCCUACGGGAGGCAGCAGUGGGAAAUAUUGCACAAUGGGCGGAAGCCUGAUGCAGCAACGCCGCGUGCGGGAUGACGGCCUUCGGGUUGUAAACCGCUUUCGCCUGUGACGAAGCGUGAGUGACGGUAAUGGGUAAAGAAGCACCGGCUAACUACGUG